GCAGUAGCCGCGGUAAAACGAAGGGGGCUAGCGUUGUUCGGAUUUACUGGGCGUAAAGCGCACGUAGGCGGACUUUUAAGUCAGGGGUGAAAUCCCGGGGCUCAACCCCGGAACUGCCUUUGAUACUGGAAGUCUUGAGUAUGGUAGAGGUGAGUGGAAUUCCGAGUGUAGAGGUGAAAUUCGUAGAUAUUCGGAGGAACACCAGUGGCGAAGGCGGCUCACUGGACCAUUACUGACGCUGAGGUGCGAAAGCGUGGGGAGCAAACAGGAUUAGAUACCCCCGUAGUCCCUGUCUCUUAUAA
This 302-nucleotide ribosomal RNA is filed under the name uncultured bacterium. RNAcentral describes it as "partial 16S ribosomal RNA". It matches the Rfam family "Bacterial small subunit ribosomal RNA", at positions 508 to 809 of the family's 1533-position model. The record is from RNAcentral.